AACUGUUAGCAACGGAUCUCUUGGUUCUCGCAUCGAUGAAGAACGCAGCGAAUUGCGAUAUGUAAUGUGAAUUGCAGAAUUCAGUGAAUCAUCGAAUCUUUGAACGCACCUUGCAUCCUUUGGUAUUGCGAAGGGUAUGCCUGUUUGAGUGUCAUUAAAUUCUCAACUUCAAAUGUUUGUUCAUUCAAAUUUUGAAGCUUGGACUAUGGAGGUCUUUGCCGGCGUCAUUGUCAGCUCCUCUUAAAUGCAUUAGCGGAACUUUAUGGACCAGCUUUGGUUUGAUAAUCCUAUCUAUGCCGUCGCUGUGGACUUGAAACAAGUUUGGCUUCUAAUGGUCUUCGGACUGUCUCUUUACGAGGCAUACACUUUUAAGCUUGACCUCAAAUCAGGUAGGACUACCCGCUGAACUUAAGCAUAUCAAUAAGCGGAGGCU
RNAcentral lists this unclassified non-coding RNA (433 nucleotides) under uncultured Clavariaceae. RNAcentral describes it as "sequence contains ITS2". The stretch from base 1 to 154 matches the Rfam family "5.8S ribosomal RNA". The record is from RNAcentral. Lineage: Eukaryota; Fungi; Basidiomycota; Agaricomycetes; Agaricales; Clavariaceae.